GACGAACGCUGGCGGCAUGCCUAACACAUGCAAGUCGAACGGAACUUGUUGAAUGAAGUUUUCGGAUGGAUUUUGAUAAGUUUAGUGGCGGACGGGUGAGUAACGCGUGAGCAACCUGCCUUUCAGAGGGGGACAACAGUUGGAAACGACUGCUAAUACCGCAUAACGUAACGAGAAGGCAUCUUUUUGUUACCAAAGAUUUAUCGCUUAGAGAUGGGCUCGCGUCUGAUUAGAUAGUUGGCGGGGUAACGGCCCACCAAGUCGACGAUCAGUAGCCGGACUGAGAGGUUGAACGGCCACAUUGGGACUGAGACACGGCCCAGACUCCUACGGGAGGCAGCAGUGGGGGAUAUUGGACAAUGGGGGCAACCCUGAUCCAGCGACGCCGCGUGAGGGAAGAAGGUUUUCGGAUUGUAAACCUCUGUUGACGGAGAAAAAGUGAUGGUAUCCGUUUAGAAAGCCACGGCUAACUACGUG
RNAcentral lists this ribosomal RNA (477 nucleotides) under uncultured bacterium. RNAcentral's name for it is "bacterial SSU rRNA". It matches the Rfam family "Bacterial small subunit ribosomal RNA", at positions 28 to 507 of the family's 1533-position model. The record is from RNAcentral.